This 407-nucleotide long non-coding RNA is filed under the name Crocodylus porosus (Australian saltwater crocodile). RNAcentral's name for it is "lncRNA (ENSCPRG00005005254.1)". Lineage: Eukaryota; Metazoa; Chordata; Crocodylia; Crocodylidae. The record is from RNAcentral.
CGGCGGGUCCCCACGGGCCAGAUGAGGUGGCUCCAAGAGCCCGUGUCAGAGACCAGCCUGAAAUAGGGGAGCAGAGCAGAGCGGGGAGGGGAGUUCCCUCAGAAGAGAAAAGCAUGAAGCCGCGGCGAGUUCCCUGGACAGGAGCACCCUCCUCCACCAUCCCGCCGGCCGGGCACAGCCGAGGGCAGCACCCGGCUCCUCGCCACGCGCGGAAGCGUCGGGAGCCCCCGGGGAGGCACCGCGGCACCGAGCCUGUAAAAAGGUAUACUACAAGCCAGGGUGCCUGCAAGUGCUGAAUUUGCCUAGUGUUUAAGGUUUUCAAGAAGAUCACUGCAACAGAAGAAUGCAAGAAGGAAGUACUCAUCACAGCCUUUGCAAAACACUUCUAGAUAAAACUAUUGAGAAAG